RNAcentral lists this ribosomal RNA (750 nucleotides) under Triticum aestivum (bread wheat). RNAcentral's name for it is "partial small subunit ribosomal RNA". Lineage: Eukaryota; Viridiplantae; Streptophyta; Magnoliopsida; Poales; Poaceae. The record is from RNAcentral.
AUGGGGAUGGAUUCAGCGACCGCCGACCGCUUCGACGCCAGUGAGCUGGAGCAUAUCACGGGAGCCGGUUCUUCUGCAGCGAUGAUUGACUGGGACAACGAGGAGCACCGCCGCUGCAUCGCCGCCUGCCUCGUCAAAGGCACUUACGUCCUUGAGAGCGACAGAGCUAUGGGCAGGACCGGGACGGCGGCGCUCGCGCCGGCAUGGUGGGAGAGCUUUCACUUCCGUCUCAAGGAGGAACUCGUGGAUGACGUGCUGGGCGCCGACUCCAUAUUCGGUGCCGUCCUCGACUCCAUAUUCGGUGCCGUCUUCGAGUUGGAGUACGUGCCCGCACACUCAUCCGCUCCUCGGUAUGUUGUCGCCUUCAGGGGCACCAUGCCGGAUAACCCCUGCUGGACGGUGGUGAUUCGAGACUACUACCAUAACUUGAAAGUACUGACCAACAAACUGAAAAAACGCACGCGCUGCCAGCUACCGUGCAGGGUGGUCGACGAACUUAUGAGGGAGGAGGACCAAGCAAGCCAAGGCCAAGACGGCUGCAUCUGGCUCGCCGGGCACUCUCUCGGAGCGUCUGUGGCGCUGGUCGUGGGACGGUACAUGAUGGAGCAGAAGAAGCCGUUCAACCUCCCGACCUUCCUCUUCAAUCCACCGCACGUGGCAUUUAUAACGUCGAUCAACUUCCUGAACCUGGAUCCGGUGGCCAAGAGGCGCCUGCACUUGGCGAGUGUUGGGCUAAGUCCCUCCACAUGA